UACGUAGGUGGCAAGCGUUGUCCGGAUUUACUGGGCGUAAAGAGCGCGCAGGCGGUCGUCCAAGUCGCGUGUGAAAGCCCCCGGCUCAACUGGGGAGGGUCACGCGAUACUGGUCGACUCGAAGGCAGGAGAGGGUAGUGGAAUUCCCGGUGUAGUGGUGAAAUGCGCAGAUAUCGGGAGGAACACCUAUGGCGAAGGCAGCUCGCUGGGACGUUACUGACGCUGAGACGCGAAAGCGUGGGGAGCAAACAGG
Molecule: ribosomal RNA, 253 nt
Filed under: uncultured bacterium
Lineage: Bacteria
Description: partial 16S ribosomal RNA
Rfam family: Bacterial small subunit ribosomal RNA
Source: RNAcentral